GCGACCCCCAGGAUGGGCGAGG
RNAcentral lists this ribosomal RNA (22 nucleotides) under Bulbophyllum setigerum. RNAcentral describes it as "partial 28S ribosomal RNA". The record is from RNAcentral. Lineage: Eukaryota; Viridiplantae; Streptophyta; Magnoliopsida; Asparagales; Orchidaceae.